AUGGCCGCCACCAUGAAGCUGUCACUCACCUUCGUCCUCCUCCUCUCCGCGCUGGUGGUGUUCGGGGACGCGCAGGCGACCUGCGACAACAUCCGGUGCAUCCAGGGAGGGUACAUCACCUGCAAGAACUACCCCGGCCAGAAGCUCGACGGGUGCGCCUGCGUGUGCGCGCCCGAGGACGGCAAGGGCUGCGUGCUCCACCUCGACAGCGGCUCCACCAACAAAUGCACCAAGUACUGA
RNAcentral lists this ribosomal RNA (240 nucleotides) under Triticum aestivum (bread wheat). Its description in RNAcentral is "partial small subunit ribosomal RNA". The record is from RNAcentral. Lineage: Eukaryota; Viridiplantae; Streptophyta; Magnoliopsida; Poales; Poaceae.